RNAcentral lists this ribosomal RNA (427 nucleotides) under uncultured bacterium. RNAcentral describes it as "partial 16S ribosomal RNA". It matches the Rfam family "Bacterial small subunit ribosomal RNA", at positions 354 to 796 of the family's 1533-position model. The record is from RNAcentral.
GUGGGGAAUAUUGGGCAAUGGGCGCAAGCCUGACCCAGCAACGCCGCGUGAGGGAAGAAGGUUUUCGGAUUGUAAACCUCUGUCGCAAGGGACGAAGAAGUGACGGUACCUUGUGAGGAAGCCCCGGCUAACUACGUGCCAGCAGCCGCGGUAAUACGUAGGGGGCGAGCGUUGUCCGGAAUUACUGGGCGUAAAGGGUGCGUAGGCGGUUGCUUAAGUUGGAUGUGAAAUACCCGGGCUUAACUUGGGGGGUGCAUUCAAAACUGGGCAACUAGAGUUCAGGAGAGGGAAGCGGAAUUCCUAGUGUAGCGGUGAAAUGCGUAGAUAUUAGGAGGAACACCAGUGGCGAAGGCGGCUUUCUGGACUGACACUGACGCUGAGGCACGAAAGCGUGGGGAGCAAACAGGAUUAGAUACCCGGGUAGUCC